RNAcentral lists this non-coding RNA (147 nucleotides) under Nomascus leucogenys (northern white-cheeked gibbon). The record is from Rfam by way of RNAcentral. Lineage: Eukaryota; Metazoa; Chordata; Mammalia; Primates; Hylobatidae.
GCUGGGCGUGGUGGCGCGCGCCUGUAAUCCCAGCUACUCAGGAGGCUGAGGCAGGAGAAUCGCUUGAACCGGGGAGGUGGAGGUUGCAGUGAGCUGAGAUCGGGCCACUGCACUCCAGCCUGGUGACAGAGCGAGACUCCGUCUCAA